Molecule: long non-coding RNA, 225 nt
Filed under: Lepisosteus oculatus (spotted gar)
Lineage: Eukaryota; Metazoa; Chordata; Actinopteri; Semionotiformes; Lepisosteidae
Description: lncRNA (ENSLOCG00000022265.1)
Source: RNAcentral
AUGCCAAACUUUGGUUUGCUGCCCAAGCCUCAUUAUUUUGUGAUCAUUCAGUUUGUUUCUUCUUUCUUUUUUUUGUUUCAGAUCAGUUUUAUUGUGAAGCGAGGUUUUAUACAUUCAAAGUAUAGCGAGCUUCACUUUUCUAUAUCUGAAGAGCAUGAGAAUUUGUUUCUUGGCAAUGAUCAGGACAUUGGCCAGGCAAGGAGAAUGAACAGGGUCCGGCUCUAG